RNAcentral lists this long non-coding RNA (635 nucleotides) under Olea europaea subsp. europaea. The record is from RNAcentral. Lineage: Eukaryota; Viridiplantae; Streptophyta; Magnoliopsida; Lamiales; Oleaceae.
AAAUGAUCCCUGAUUUUCUCAAGAUUAUAUUAAAACCAUCAUUAGUAAAAGUGUAACUCGCUCCUGGAAACUCAAGAUAACAACAGAGUAGCUUCAACCCCUUUAUAUAAAUAUCUAUACUCUCUUUUAACGUGAAGGUCAUUUAGGUAUAAUAUAAUAGGUUUAUGUCAUGGUCCUUCAUUAAGGUUAGUUGUAAGAUUGUAUUGAUUGUGCUUUUACCUUGUCCAAAAGCAUUACCCUGAAGACAGACAACUUGCUAUAAGAUUGAUAUAUUUUAAAAUUUUAUACUAUGGAUCCUCUUGACUUUUUGUUGAAAAUAGUGUCAUUCAUUAUGGGAGGAGAAUUUGGAACUUGACUGGGUAAGGAAGAAAAAAAUCAAUUAACUCAAAGAAUCGUGUUUACCAAGACAAAAUAUAAGGUAUGUGAAUAUGAAUAUGAAUAUGAUUAUAUUAUUUCAUUUGUGUUGAUUGCUUAUCUGUACCUAUAGACGUUGGGUUUUAAGCCAUUUUCUGUAUACAAACCAGCUGUUUGAAUUGAUAUUGUUCUAAUUAACCAAAACCUACAUUAAUUGAUUUAUAAACACCUUUCAUUGCAAUGACCAGUGGAUCUUGAUGCUAAAAGGGACCUUAAGCUAC